UACUAGUACGUCACAGGGGCCCAUCAUGGCGCCUGCCCACGCCCAAGCCUGGCCCUACUCUUCAUACUCAAGAUUUUCCCUGGAGAACCACCCUACAGAACAGGUGCCGUACCCUCCCGUGGGUGACCGGCCGUCGCCGAUGUCACCCACCGCCCCAACUAACCCCGUGCUCCCACCGUACACCCCCGCCGCCUGGACCGGCGAAGAGCCGCCUCCUUCUUACGACGAAGCAACCAAGUCAAAACCCGUGAAGUGAAAGCGACAUGUUUUUCAUACAUUUUGUACUUUUAGACGACAACAUUUUUUAGCCCCAACCAAAAAAAAAUCAAUCUCUCAGGGACACAAUUCUCCGGUCACCAAGGAGUGCCACCAAAGGCGCAGAUAAAAGAGGGAUGAAGUCGGGGGCUGCCACAUGACGUACAAUAUGCCUAUAUUAUCGUAACAUUCACAUACAUGUACAUGUUUAUGUUAUAUAUAUACACACACACACACACACGCACACAGACACACACAUGUAUAUGACAGUGCAUGUAACCAAGGGAUAAAAGCUCCUUGAUGUAACAUAUAUAACGCUAUACAUAUAAUAUUAUAUAGAAACAAAAAAUUAUAUAGACACAGUGCACCUAACACUGAAAAUAAAACGAGGGAAAUGCACAGAAAAUCAAUUAUGAUUAACUGAGACGGAAAGUAAUUAGAAUGUAAAGAAGUACUCACCAACUAAUAAUAGCAAUAGCUAGUUAGUCCACGGCAUAUGGUACGUGUACUGAAUGUGUAUAACCAUGGAGUUUGCGUUCAUUAUUAUUAAUUUCCAAGUAAAUUAAAUUGGUUACAAAAUCUUUG
Molecule: long non-coding RNA, 840 nt
Organism: Branchiostoma floridae (Florida lancelet)
Lineage: Eukaryota; Metazoa; Chordata; Leptocardii; Amphioxiformes; Branchiostomatidae
Exons: 2
Source: RefSeq, a predicted model, not a curated record